Amylostereum chailletii is the source of this 95-nucleotide non-coding RNA. Lineage: Eukaryota; Fungi; Basidiomycota; Agaricomycetes; Russulales; Stereaceae. The record is from the annotation of a GenBank genome assembly.
GGUUCAAUGGUCUAGGGGUUAUGAUUUCUGUCUUACAAAUGCUUCUUGCGCAUUCCGAGCACAGACGGUCUCCGGUUCAACCCCGGAUUGAACCA